GGGCAGAAUCACCCACUGAGUCCCAGACACAAACUGCAUGAGGGUCUACACAGGUAAGAAGGUCGGUCUCCGAGGCCUGGGGCUCCAGGCCCCCUCAGCUCUGGGACCCUGAGCCCAGCCCCUGUAUCCCUCUGCCCUCCCAAUGGACUCCAGGCCCCUGCUGGGCACACUCACACUGCACAGAGAGGUCCAGGGCUCGCUGCUGGGAGCCAAGCCUGUUCUCCGCUCGGCAGGUGUAGCGCCCUGAAUCCCCAGCCUUCACCCCGGGCAGCUCCAGCCCCAGGGGUCUAGGGCCCCAGGGAUGGGACGAGGAGAGGACUCUGUUCUGCAGGACCCAGCUCAGUGUGGCAGGGGGCUGGCUGUCAGCAGCACAGAGGAGCCGCAGGAACUGGCCUUUUUGGGCUUCCAGGGAAAAGAAAGUGGGACUAUCCCGGGAAGACAAGUGACAACCAGCGCCAGGGCUCACGUGUGUGGACCAGACGCCAUUCCCAUCCCCCUCCCAGGGCUGCGGCGGCAUCCUGGGACCCCACAGCUUCCUCUCCCUGGAUGCUCCUGAGCUGGGAGCCGCUCACUGUCCCACUGGGCUCCUCCACCUCCCCACCCACCGGGGCUGUCUGCACACCCCAC
This 627-nucleotide long non-coding RNA is filed under the name Homo sapiens (human). Its description in RNAcentral is "SIGLEC10 antisense RNA 1". The record is from RNAcentral. Lineage: Eukaryota; Metazoa; Chordata; Mammalia; Primates; Hominidae.